CUAUACAAAACCUGUAAGUGACUCCUAAUUUGCUGGGGAAAUAUUCCCAUGUGUUCCAUGUUAAUCAUAAUAUAUCUUGGCUUUGCCACUUCAAACAAAUUUAAAUUUGUAAGAUGAAUAUGUAUAUAUAUUGUUUAGAACUAGCACUAAUUAAAACAAUUAAAGAGGUGAUUUGUACUCCAGUAUAAUAAAGAUAUCAUGAAAUAAAAAUGAUUUGUGUUGUUUUGUAUUAUUGUUUUAUCAUUAUGGAAUAUUUUCGUGCUCUUUGUGUACAGUAUUUAUCCUAUGUGUUACCGCUUUUCUAUUUGGCAUCAUGUGUCUACCCCACCUUCUUUCUGCAACAAGUCCGUAGUACACAUGUUGUACACAACCUCUAGUUGAGUCACCCUUAUUUUAAGGGGGGAAGCCGUCGGUGUUAUGGAGUAGGUGGAAAGCUGUCCCAGCUACUAUUGAUCAUACACUCCCCCGAAUAGCCUUGUUAGUGAACCCCAACGUAGGUCAGCCUUUAGGUCAUGCUUAUGUGCAUCAUAUUGAGACCUAACGGGGCCCGCUUGGUCCUUUGUAGGAGACUCACCUCUAAAGCAUCCCUACGUGCUAAAUGUUGCAUCUUUGAGGAUAACGUGGUCAUUUGACUGACUGAUUUGGGAAAAACAUGUGUUAGAAGUAAAGUGUGUGGGUAAUGAAAAAAAAACAAGAAAAAAAAAGAGUUUCGUAGUUUUUAGAGUUUUUUAUGGCUUUUAUUUUUCACAAUUUCAAAAUUCAAAAGGACUUUUUUACCUUUCGCACUCAUUUUCUCAAAAACAUCAAAAAGAUUUUCCUUUGUCUCGUUUAGCA
Molecule: long non-coding RNA, 834 nt
Filed under: Capsicum annuum
Lineage: Eukaryota; Viridiplantae; Streptophyta; Magnoliopsida; Solanales; Solanaceae
Description: long non-coding RNA (CANN_LNC006556)
Source: RNAcentral